Molecule: long non-coding RNA, 833 nt
Filed under: Homo sapiens (human)
Lineage: Eukaryota; Metazoa; Chordata; Mammalia; Primates; Hominidae
Description: HSALNT0389272
Source: RNAcentral
CUCCACAAAGAGAAAAUGGCGGAAUGGGCCUUCGCCUCCCUUUUAUAACGGCUGUACUCAACCGCUGUAUCUUGGAAGCUUUGUUUUGAUUGGGUGAGAAGGAACUUUUUUCGACAACUCUUAUUGGAUAAUAGUCUCCUGCUCUGACUGGAUAAUCUUAACUAAUCAGAGUUGGAGACUUAUCCAAUCUGUGUUGUAGUACAGAGUCUGCUCUCAUCCUAUCAGAAAGAGGCUUCCAGGGUAUGUCAUUUGAAUACAGACAUUAUAAAAGGGAGGCAAAGAUCUGCACCUGCCGUGGAGGUUGGGCUCAUGUGCUCCUCUGCAUUGGAGUUAGCCAAGGAGCGUGUGCAGAACACUUGCCUCAUAGGCCAGCCGUAGAGAAGGAUGUCCCAGGUGCAGGCGAAGUUUUGUUCAUGUGUUCCUGGAGGAUUUUUCCCGUGGCAAGCGCUUCUCCAUCCUCCAGCAUCUCAGGCCUGGCUGGCCACUCAGUAUUCCUUGUCCCUGGCCUCGCAGCCCACCCGGGAAGCCACAGUGACCAGCCACCAGGUGUGCCAUCACGGAGGAAGUCCAGGUUGGAGAGGUGGUCUCCUUCUGUGAGCAGGUCCACCUCUCCCCCCACUGAGGCCCCUUUCUGCCUGUGACAGCCCCACCUCAAGGGCCAUGGCACAGCCAUCAGCUCCAGCUGCCAGCAUGCUACUGCCAUGCCCCGAGUGUCCAUCUGGGCCCCGGUUCAUGACCUGUUGUCUUUCUGUAUCUACUUUCUGCAGCCCCUCACUGAGGAGGCCUCCUGGGUUUGUCCAGUGCCUGCUAUUAAAGCUUUGCUCCAAGUUCAA